GGAGCACAGAGUGGCCAGUAUGUGGGUGGGCAGGCCUGUCAUGGCAUCAGGACAGGUGCUGAACUUCAGUGUUCUCAUGUGAUGCUAACUCUGCUGUGUGGUUUUAGACUAUGUAUAGCCAGGACAGGCAUGUUGAUGUCCUCAAUCUCUGCUUUGCCCAGUUUGAGCCAGAUUCCACUGAGUAUAUCAAGGUGAGUAUAUUUUAGUUUCUAAAAUAUAGGCUUAAGUAUGGUUAUGAGUAAGAUUUUUAAUCUAGCUCAACGAAUUUGGUUGUAAGUUUUGAUACAGGGGAAAGGGAAGAGAAAUACCUGAAAAUCUAUGGAGUACAGAUGUGUGCCAGAUAUAUAUUUUAUAAUCACAACAACCCUUGAUUAAAGAUAAGGGAAUUUAAGCUUGUAGAGUUAAGUAGCUUGCUGAAAGUUGCGUAGCUACUAAGUGGUAGGGUUAGGACCCAAGUUUGAUGACAAAGCCUAUUCUCUUUUCAGUUUACCAUAUAGGAAUCAAAUUAUUUACUAAAAUUUUGCCGAAGUACAGUGUGUUUGUCUUACAGCUCAGUAAGUAUUCAUUAGUACCUUCUAUGUGUAAGGUAUUAUCUUGGGUAGUAUAGGUGAUGCCAUGAACUAGGAUAGAGUAUGCUGUGCCAAAGCCAGCAGUCCGGAUAUGGCUGUGGGGAAAGGUGCUAGUAAGUAUACAAAUAAUUAUCUCCUCAGGCCUAAAAUGCUAGACACUAAGAGAAGAUUACAAAUUCUUUGAAGAAAGCCUUCAUAGGGGUGUUAAGGAGGGUUCUAGAAGUGCAGGAAACGUUGUGGCAGGUGGAGCUGGGUGAGGUGUUUCAGGUAGAGAACAAUAUAAGCAACAGGCAGGAAAAAAGGAGGCUUGAGAAAUGGCCAGUGAUCUGGUUUGCUUGUAUAUGCCAUGUAUAUGUAGGGGAGUGAUUAAAGAUUAAGCUAGGAAGGUGGAUGUAGCCACAUCAUAGGUGACCUCAGGUGCUAGGCUGAGGAAUCUGGAAUUCAGUCAGCAGACCUUUGAAAGCCUUUUGAACAGAGGAAUGCCCCCAUCAGAACCUUCAUUUAGGAAGAUCAAUCUGGAAGGAGGACUGAAGGAUUUUAGUUGAUAAGAUGGAAUGGGCUAGCUGGUAGAAUAGGGUAGUUGAUGGGGGGAGGGAUAGGGGAAAGGGAGAGUAGUGAAAAAAUAUUCUUGAUUUCUUUUCUCCCAUAGUGACCAAGAAGUGGGUGCUACAUUAUUUCCAGUGGUCUCUAUAUGCAUAUUCGGUGCUUAAUAAAUUGUAGUUGGCCUGCCAAAAAGUACUUAAUAUGGCUAUAAAUGUUUGUUAUCUUGCUCCAGGCUGCCACAUACUUCUACAGUGGAGAAGGCACAGACUUGCUGUCAUUUAGACAAAUUCUUUUCUUUUUAUUUUUUUAAAGACAGGGUCUUAUUCUGUGGCCUACCAUGCCCAGCUAAUUUUUAAAAAAAUUUUCCUAGAGAUGAGGACUGCUCAAGCAGUCCUCCCACCUCAGCUUCCCGAGGUGUUGGGAUUAUAGGCAUGAACCACUGUGCCUGGCCAAAAUUCUUUCUUAAUAGAGUCCUCCUUCCCACCUAAGGUAGGUUGUACUAGGAAUGGUUUAAAUCAUACCAAUUGGUUAAUGAUACGGAGGCAACUGUAAGUAGACCUGGUUUUACUUGCUUGGGCAGCACUCAUGCUAAUCAGUGUACGUUGAAUAAUGCUGCAUACUUCUUUUUAUUUUCAUGUUUCUGAAGAGUUGCAUUUUAUGUGGAUAGGUUCAUCACAAGACCUAUGAAGAUAUAGAUAAACAUGGAAAAUAUGACCUUUUACGUUCAACGAGAUACUUUGGUGGAAUGGUGUGGUAUUUUGUAAAUAAUAAAAAGAUUGAUGGUUUGCUGAUUGACCAGAUUCAGAGAGAUUUAAUCGAUGAUGCAACCAACUUGGUCCAGCUGUAUCACAUGCUCCAUCCAGACGGCCAGUCGGCUCAAGAGGCCAAGGAUCAGGCUGCUGAGGGAAUAAAUUUAAUCAAGGUCUUUGCAAAAACAGAAGCACAGAAGGGAGCCUAUAUAGAACUAACACUGCAAACUUAUCAAGAAGCACUCAGUCGCCAUUCUGCAGCUUCCUAAAAGUAUUUUUAAAAUACAUUUAUUUUACUAAA
Molecule: small RNA, 2162 nt
Filed under: Pongo abelii (Sumatran orangutan)
Lineage: Eukaryota; Metazoa; Chordata; Mammalia; Primates; Hominidae
Description: retained intron
Source: RNAcentral